Molecule: transfer RNA, 66 nt
Filed under: Hodotermes mossambicus
Lineage: Eukaryota; Metazoa; Arthropoda; Insecta; Blattodea; Hodotermitidae
Description: tRNA-Asp
Source: RNAcentral
GUGAGGUUAGUUAAAAAAUAACAUCAGCUUGUCAAGCCGAAAUAAUUCCAAAAAGAAUACCCCACU